UAGACCCCAUUUAAGGGCUGACUCCCAAGGAGAAAGGUUCUCUACCUGGAGAUUACUUCUCUUGGAGCCCUUCUGUGAGCCCAGGAUACAGAUAAGUCCUGCAGAGAAUCAUUGCCUUCAGAUGGGAAAUGAGACCCACAACUUCUGGGUAACUCUCUAAGUAGAGCUGCUCCAAGCUACACCACUCAUACUCACUGUAGACCUGAGCAUCGCUUCCUCAGGUGUCCGCGGGUUGGCAUAAACCCACUCCCUAAUCCUGUCUCUUUUAAGCCAAGUACAGCCAUAUCCAAAGCAGGUUCCCAAUCCUUUAGG
Long non-coding RNA from Gallus gallus (chicken), 312 nucleotides. RefSeq lists it as uncharacterized. Lineage: Eukaryota; Metazoa; Chordata; Aves; Galliformes; Phasianidae. The transcript has 3 exons. The record is from RefSeq and is a predicted model, not a curated record.